GGGAAAAGUUUCUAUUCACUACCCUUCAACUGAUAAAAGCCAGACUGUCUUGAUGCCUUCUGGAUUAGUGGCCUUAAUGAAGGUGAUUCUCACGUGGUUGAAGGGCAUAAAACCAAGAGAUACAGAAAAGAGUUGUUUAAGGAUGGUUCUAGUUACCUAACUCCCAAGAAUACCUACACAAGUGAACAAUAGCCAAUGUUUACAAAAAGCCCAGUUAGUACCAAAUGCUGUUGGGUCCAUACACUCAUUAUCUCAUCUUUUCAGACAAGGAAACUGAGGCUUGGAGAUGUUAGGGAACUUGCCCAAAGUCCUAAAGCUGGUAAGCGGGAGAGACAGAAGCAGAAACAGAGCUAGCUCUUUUCCCCACUACACUCAUAGCCAUGAUGUCAAUAUUAUCACUGUAACGGGCAUCCUCUUAUUGCAAUGGCUCUUUUUAUAGGAGUAUGGUUUCAAAGAUAAAUUUAAGCUAACAUUAUAAACUUUGUCACAUUCUCUCCCAGAAGUACUUCUUUAAUGACUGCAUAACUUUUAUUCCCAUAAUAGUCCUAUUUUUACUUCUGAAAAAAAGGAAGCAAUUCCUGUCUCACAAUUCUAUAGUAACGAUGCAUCUAAAUUCACGUUUCCGUAGUAUGAAAUUUUAGGAAAGCUCUUUCUGGUUAUUAACUGGCCUUCAGCGGAGCUAGUUUGCCUAUUUAAGUGAGCAGUAUGUGGAAUUUCUUCCAGAUCACUCGCACGCCACUAGCUAGAGCCGGCAAAAACACUGAUCUCACGGCCGCCCACUCAGCUAGAUCUCUUUCUGCAGGCACUGACUCGGUUUCCAAACCCAACACUCCGACAGCGGCUUUCUGCUCGUCUGUACGCGUCAGUUGCUCCAAGCGGUUAUCCCUACAGCUGAUCUGGGUUGCUUUCAACCUAUCAACUACGGAGCUAUGAAGACAAACCUGGGUUUGGCUUUUCUAAGGAAUUUCAAGCUCCUAACUAUGCCUUGGUGGAGAGAAGGCCAGGCACCCUGAGGGGGCACGAGUUUUCUUCUUUUUCAAAAGUUUCUAUCUUUUGCCCAGACACAGGAGUAAGAGCACACACGACUACCCCCGGCGAGCCCGGCGUGGCAUCCCUCGGAGCGCGGGGUACGAUGGGAAAUAGGCCUCAGGCCCCGCCCACCUAAUACUACUCGCCUGCAUCAGACGCCGGGCCCUCUCGGACUCCAGCAGCCUCGGCCUCGCCCACCUCGACCCCCACCCCCGCCUCUGGCUCCGCCCACUCAAGUCCAGCCAGCCUCAGGCUCCUUGGUCGCCUCAGGCUCCGCCCGCCUGAGGCCCCACCCCCGGGUCCCCAGGCCUCCUGAAGCUCCGCCCCCGAGGCUCCGGCCCCCUCGGGCCGGUUUGCCACAGGCCCAGCGGUCAUGGUGGCGUCGCUGGGCUGAAGGAAGUCGUCGCCGCUCCGGCCGCCUGGCCCUCUCACCUCGGGUUGUGGUUCAGGUUCAGCGCGAUCCAAGAUCUGGAACCAGAUAUUUAUAAGAAGAGCUCUGUUUCUUUUUAUUUAGGGAGUCAGCCUUAGAAGCUAAGAUCUAGAAGGGUUGAAUCAUCUACCUUCUGAUUAAGUUUGAUCAUGUGAGAAAUGACCACUGAGCAGAAUAUGAAGGAUGAAAGUGGAAAAUAGCAACACACAGCCACAAGGUACAAUCUCAGACUAAAACCGUGAGGGGGAGAGAUGCACACUACCCUUUUCUUCUCAAUAUGAACUCGGAAGAUCUACAGGGUUUAAGUUUCAGGAGGUAACAACAUUGACUAGAGACAUCUGGAAUGUGAAGACUGCUGUGCAAGGCUACCAUGUGGUGGGGCGCCAGGAGGGAGGAGGACAAAGGAAGCUCCGACUGUUUUUUAAAUAUUCAUUUCUUUGCACCCACCUGCAGCAAAUAUGAUAAAACGUUAACAUUUAUUAAAUACAGGCGAAGGUUUCAUGGCUGUUCGUUAUACUAUUCUCUAAUAUUUUCCCUCUGUAUUUUUCUGUAUGGCUGAAAGAGUUCCUUAAAAAUAAACAUGUGCUACUGUGUGUACUACUACUCUUUACACUGUGGAAAGCUUCAUGGAACCAGAGAAAAAUAACAGAAUUGGGGAGUCUGGAGAAUCAGAUUCAAGUCCUAACUAUGCCAUUAAUCAGCUACAGGAUUUUAAGUAACUCACAACCUUUCUAGAAUUCAAGAACUUAUCAAAUCAAGAACUUUACCAAAUAAAAUACGAAAUGAUAUCUUAGGGCUGUCCAGUGUGAACAUUAUGAUUCAUUUAUUAAUGCCACUAUAUAAAUGCUGUAAUCCUAUGAGGGUGAUAAAACAUCAAAGAAUUAAAGCUCAACAGGACUCAUAAACUCACGUUAAUUGUUAAAUCUGGAAAGUACCUCUCAAUAGUUUACUUGCAUAAAAUAUUCUUUGCUACUCCUGUAAUUCAUUGGGUCCCAGCGUUUUAAAAUGUGAGAAUCUGGGGGCCAGCCCGGUGGUGCAGUGGUUAAGUUCACCUGUUGCGCUUUGGCGGCCCAGGGUUCCCCGGUUCGGAUCCCAGGUGAGGACAUGACACUGCUUGUCAAGCC
Long non-coding RNA from Equus quagga, 2583 nucleotides. RefSeq lists it as uncharacterized. NCBI's taxonomy places the organism in Eukaryota, Metazoa, Chordata, Mammalia, Perissodactyla, Equidae. The record is from RefSeq and is a predicted model, not a curated record. The transcript is spliced from 5 exons.